GCCGGGCGAGGUGGCGGGCGCCUGUAGUCCCAGCUACUCGGGAGGCUGAGGCAGGAGAAUGGCGUGAACCCGGGAGGCGGAGCUUGUAGUGAGCUGAGAUCCGGCCACUGCACUCCAGCCUGGGUGAGGGAGCGAGACUCCGUCUCAAAAAAAAAAAAAAAAAAGAAUCUAGAAGGGUUGUCCUAAGAUCUAUCUAUAUCUUUUUUUUUUUUUUUUUUUUGAGAUGGAGUCUUGCUCUGUCACCUGGGCUGGAGUGUAGUGACGCGAUCUGGGCUCACUGCAAGCUCCGCCUCCCGGGUUCAGGCCAUUCUCCUGCCUCAG
RNAcentral lists this signal recognition particle RNA (321 nucleotides) under Macaca mulatta (Rhesus monkey). RNAcentral describes it as "Metazoan signal recognition particle RNA (ENSMMUG00000059800.1)". It matches the Rfam family "Metazoan signal recognition particle RNA". Rfam says of the family: The signal recognition particle (SRP) is a universally conserved ribonucleoprotein. It is involved in the co-translational targeting of proteins to membranes. The eukaryotic SRP consists of a 300-nucleotide 7S RNA and six proteins: SRPs 72, 68, 54, 19, 14, and 9. The record is from RNAcentral. Lineage: Eukaryota; Metazoa; Chordata; Mammalia; Primates; Cercopithecidae.